RNAcentral lists this long non-coding RNA (1279 nucleotides) under Monodelphis domestica (gray short-tailed opossum). RNAcentral describes it as "lncRNA (ENSMODG00000038812.1)". The record is from RNAcentral. Lineage: Eukaryota; Metazoa; Chordata; Mammalia; Didelphimorphia; Didelphidae.
AUGUGGUCUUUAUGGCUUCAUUUCCUAAAUGAGACAAGGAGAGAGGGAACACAGAGGAUGGGGACCAGGACACAAACAGAUGCCCAACUCCCCAGUCAUUCAUGUUUUUGUCUUCUUAAUGACACUAGAUUGAUUUUGUAUACACACACAUUAUUCAUGUAUAUUCAUCUAACAAUCCUGGGAAGCAGAGGUUACAGGAUCUGCUCAGAUUCACAUAGUCUGAGGCCAUAUUUGACUUCCCUUCUUCCUGACUCCAAGCUUAACACUCUAGCCACCUAGUUGCGUUGGAGGAAGGCAGCAUCCCAUAACCGCCAGCCUGUUUGUCAGACACCAUCAUGAUAAACUUGCUAGCCUGCCUAGAGCAUUGAAUGUGUGCAGGGGAGGAGAGGGUAGUCAGCCUGCAAAGGGAGGCUUGAGAACUAAACAGAACUGUCUUAUCUUGGAGGCAAGCACGGCCAGUGAAACUUCUUGAGCAGCAGAAUGGCAGGGUCAGGGCUUUCCGAGUGAAUGUCAAUUUGGAUGCUGUGUGAGUGGGGUUUUGUAAAUGGAAUUAUGGCUGUUUGGUUGCCUUUUAUUCGUGGGUGGGUAGGCCGGAGAGGCUAAGGGCCAUUCCUUUCACCACAACUUUUGGUUAACUGAAAGCCUGUCUUUGGUUCAUAGGGAUCUUUCCUGACUAAAGCCCAUCUAUCCCACUGUAAGUGAAAACAUGCCUUAGCUAAGAAGCCAGAGGAAGCACCCCAACUUCCUCUGACUUCCCGGUGGGAGAUGAGGGAACACUGAGAGCUAACAAGGUCACAGAGGUACAACAGAUUGACCGGGAGCCGCGACAUGCACACUUUCUUUCAUCCUUGCCUACUAGAAACCCUUUUUUGAACUUGGAAGCUACACAGUGGGGGGGGAGGUCACAGCUGUGACCUGGAAGUGGAAGUGGAAGUUCUAAGCGUUCCUAGGAGACUGUUGCGCAGACGCACUCCAGUUUCCGGUCUCUCCUCAGAGGUGGUCGACGCCAUUAGGGUGGUGGCUGCCGCAGAUUUGGGUCUGGUCCUUGUCGCUGCGGGUGGUCUCGGGCAGAGUGGUGAGGUUGACUCAGCCGAGGUGGGAAGGUGGGGGAGAUAGAGGAGGCCUAUAGGGGCAACUGCCACCGAUUUUUGCCUUGUUGGGGGGAGGCAGGGGAGGCUGGUGAGGGAAGCUGCCAUCGAUUUGCGCCCUCCCUGAGGGGGGAGGGGAGGUCGGGGAAGCCCGUGGGGGUGAGGUUGCCACAGAUUUUUGCCUUGAGGAG